CUGCUUGCUUAUGGCCACCGAGGGGGGAAACCUCCUCGGCGGUACGGCAACACCCACCCUUGACUAUAUAUACCUUUCGUUAUUUCCCUCGGCGGGGCAACCCGCCGCUGGGGACAUUGAAACCCUCUUGUAUCAAGCAUCAAAACUUCUGAAACAAACCUAAAAUAUAA
This 170-nucleotide unclassified non-coding RNA is filed under the name uncultured Ascomycota. RNAcentral describes it as "sequence contains ITS1". The record is from RNAcentral. Lineage: Eukaryota; Fungi; Ascomycota.